UACAGAGACUGCAAGCGUUAUUCGGAUUCACUGGGCGUAAAGGGUGCGCAGGCGGCCGAGUGUGUGAGGCGUGAAAGCCCGAUGCUUAACAUCGGAAUUGCACCUCAAACUACACGGCUAGAGCAUUGGAGAGGGUAGCAGAAUUCAUGGUGUAGCAGUGAAAUGCGUAGAUAUCAUGAGGAAUACCAGAGGCGAAGGCGGCUACCUGGACCGGCAUUGACGCUGAGGAGCGAAAGCCAGGGGAGCAAACGGG
This 253-nucleotide ribosomal RNA is filed under the name uncultured bacterium. RNAcentral describes it as "partial 16S ribosomal RNA". It matches the Rfam family "Bacterial small subunit ribosomal RNA", at positions 524 to 776 of the family's 1533-position model. The record is from RNAcentral.